This is a long non-coding RNA of Folsomia candida, 1084 nucleotides long. RefSeq lists it as uncharacterized. NCBI's taxonomy places the organism in Eukaryota, Metazoa, Arthropoda, Collembola, Entomobryomorpha, Isotomidae. The transcript has 2 exons. The record is from RefSeq and is a predicted model, not a curated record.
AAGUCACUACGAAGAUACAUAUGUAAAUAGCAGUGGGUAUUAUAAUUAGCCUCUGUGUUCUGUGUACGUUUGUAUAGAGACCUGCACAGUUUGGCUUAUUUCUGUUCCUAUCUCAUCGGGUCAUGUUAGUACGCCCUCCACACUCCUCAAAGACCCCAAAUUCUCCAGAUUUGAUACCCUCAUCGCCAAAAAUCUAAUUAAUUUUCCGAAACGUACGUGGCUUCACUACGAUGCCUCCACACUGGUCGCAACACCAACCAAGAGAUGAAUAUGGACGAUUCCAGAGAGUGAAGAAAGUUGCGCCUAAGGAAUUCGUCAUCAGUCGUAACCCGUCAGCUCAAACAAACGAUAAGCAAGUUAACGCUAAACAUAAGCAAUUUAGGGCAACGCAAUAAUGAUUUCUUUCGUAUAUUUUGCACGGUUUGGGAGGACAUUUUUUCAAACAACAAUUUAUUUUAGUGUGAAUUUACGGUAUGAGGACUUGAUAUUCAAAACUGAAUAGUUUUAUUAAUUAGAACCAAGCUUUCAACAAUUGUACAUAUUUUCAUUUCGAUUUCGUUCAAAUUGUUUUCAUAAAUGUGUAAUAUAAGCAUAACUACAAUAGACAUAAGAAUGAAACUAUUUAUAACAUAAAUAUCUCCUCCAGUUUGUGUCCUUUUGGAAGGGAUCCUAAAAUGGAUGCUACAUUCCCUCUUUGAACAGUAAUACUCAUUCUCUGCAAUAAAAAGGAUGUCGCCCUCUUCUCUUCUGUGAGGUUCGUGAUUCUGGACCCGAUUGUACAUUGUUUUCAUCAGGGUUGCAGAAACAUAAUUUGCAAAAAUGGGGUCUACAAAUUUUUGUGAUACAUACAAUAAUAAUAUUUUCCUUGGUAAUUAUGGGGUCUUCAUAAGUGGUAGGAUGGUAGGGAUCCAAAUGGGGUUCACUUUUUUGCCAUCUUUGAUGUUCAUUCAUAGCAAUUUAAACAACAAUUUAUUGAUAGCUUUAGGAUCUUAUUGAUCCGAUCAAAUGUGAUAACAGUAAGAGUAAUUGUAGUUUAAAUAUCUUCAAAAAGAUGUAGUAUAAAUAAAUUCGCAAUCAAGUUACA